Molecule: long non-coding RNA, 226 nt
Filed under: Nicotiana benthamiana
Lineage: Eukaryota; Viridiplantae; Streptophyta; Magnoliopsida; Solanales; Solanaceae
Description: long non-coding RNA (NBEN_LNC025554)
Source: RNAcentral
GGAGUCUGGAGAGACGAGAUGGCGACAGGGUGACCCGCGACUGGUGGAAAUAGACGACGACGAGCGAGCGGACGCGGAGACUGGAGAGGAUUGAUGGCUGCCCGCUGCUGUUCAACAAUGUUAGGGAAUUAGGGUUUCUUUAGAGACUGGAUCUGGAAUGAGGAAUUAGAAAAUUAGGGGUAACGGCCUAAUGGGUAUACUGUAUAGACAGAAGUGACGGUAGGGG